GAUGAACGCUGGCGGCGUGCCUAACACAUGCAAGUCGAGCGAUUUACUUCGGUAAAGAGCGGCGGACGGGUGAGUAACGCGUGGGUAACCUGCCCUGUACACACGGAUAACAUACCGAAAGGUAUGCUAAUACGAGAUAAUAUGCUUUUAUCGCAUGGUAGAAGUAUCAAAGCUUUUGCGGUACAGGAUGGACCCGCGUCUGAUUAGCUAGUUGGUAAGGUAACGGCUUACCAAGGCGACGAUCAGUAGCCGACCUGAGAGGGUGAUCGGCCACAUUGGAACUGAGACACGGUCCAAACUCCUACGGGAGGCAGCAGUGGGGAAUAUUGCACAAUGGGCGAAAGCCUGAUGCAGCAACGCCGCGUGAGCGAUGAAGGCCUUGGUCGUAAGCUCUGUCCUCAAGGAAGAUAAUGACGGUACUUGAGGAGGAAGCCCGGCUAACUACGUGCCAGCAGCCGCGGUAACACGAGAGUA
This 474-nucleotide ribosomal RNA is filed under the name uncultured bacterium. Its description in RNAcentral is "bacterial SSU rRNA". It matches the Rfam family "Bacterial small subunit ribosomal RNA", at positions 28 to 533 of the family's 1533-position model. The record is from RNAcentral.